UUGUGCAGUUGCAGUAGAUGUGGAAAUAGAGGAAAAUAGAAAAAGGCAUAUAUAUAAACCAGCCACAGAUACUUUGACUCUCUAAUCUGUCUCUCAUUAUAGUACAGAAAACCCUUUUCUCUUUCUCUAUCUGAAAAUCACUGCACCAUAAACACCAGGUUUUUGAAGCAACAUUUGUGAAAAUGGAAAAUGGGGUAGUAAUGGUAGAUAAUAAGAUUGCGGAAGAAAGAGUUGCCAAUGAGGAAGUGAAGGUGACGCUUGCUGGGGAUUCCGGUGAAACAGAAGAACCAGUAGAUGAGGUUUUUGAGGAGGCAAGUUCAACACUGGAGAAUUUGCAAGAACAGGCAGAAAAAUCUGGAGUGGAUGGCGGCAGUUCAGUUGAGGAUGCAAUUGGAAAUGUUGAGACAUUUGGCGAUACUGGUUCAGAGGUAGUUAAGGAGAACUUGAAUUUAGAACCUGAAGCAGAGACCUUUCAAGAGGCUAUUGAAACUCAGGAGAACGACGUUCCAAGUGAGGUUGGAACUCAGGAGGCUGUGGCAGAGUUGGUGGACCAGCAGAAAGGUGAGAGUGUUGGUGGUGGUGUGGUGUCAGAUAAGAUUGACGAGGGAGGGACUGAAAUGGGCAAAAACAAUGAUGAAUUGAAAGGUGGGAAGGAAGUACCUGAAAUCAGUGGUACUGGAGAAGCAGAAGUUCCGAGGGAUGAGGAAAAAAGAAAUCUCAAGUCUGAUUCAGGAAUGGAGAUGCCUGUAAAAGGAGAUACUGAUCAGGGAAAAGAGGAUACGGAAGUGAAAUGUGCCACAGCUGAUCUUGGUUCAGUAGACGGAGAUGAAGAUGAAAAGGUUUUUGCUGCUGUGGAGGUGGAGGAUAACAUGAAUGGAGAACUAAAAGAUUUAUUGAAUGCUAGAGACAUGAAGCUUAAUAGUGAGAUUGAUGAGCUGAAAGAUGGGCUGUCUGAGCCAGGGAAAUCUGUUGAAGAGACAGUUGCUUCUGCAGAUGAACUAAAAGAUUUAUUGAAUGCUAGGGACAUGAAGCUUAAUAGUGAGAUUGAUGAACUGAAAGAUAGGCUGUUUGAGCCAAGGAAAUCUGUUGAAGAGACAGUUGCUUCUGCUGAUAGAAACUUAUCCUCUUCAGAAAAGUUUGCAGAUGAGAGGAAUGAGAAGAUUGAGGCUGGUAAAGCUGAUAAGAUUGACAAGGCAGGUACUGAAAUGGGCGAAAAGACUGAUGAAUUGAAUGGUGGGAAGGAAGUACUUGAAAUCAAUGGUACUGGAGAAACAGAAGUUUCGAGGGAUGAUGAAAAAAGAAGUCUCAAGUCUGAUACAGUAAUUGAGAUGCCUGUAAAAGGAGAUACUGAUCAGGGACAAGAGUGUACAGAAGUAAAAGGGGCUACGGCUGGUCUGGAUUCAGUGCAUGGUGGAGAUGAAGAUGAAAUCAAUGGUACCGGAGAAACAGAAGUUCCAAGGGACGAGGAAAAAAGAAGUCUCAAGUCUGAUACAGUAAUUGAGAUGCCUGUUAAAGGAGAUACUGAUCAGGGACAAGAGCGUACAGAAGUAAAAGGGGCUACAGCUGGUCUUGAUUCAGUGGAUGGUGGAGAUGGAGAUGAAAAAGCAAAUAAGGCUUUUGCUGCUAAGGAGGUGGAGGAUAACAUGAAUGGAAAAGUAGAAGAUUUAUCAUAUGCUAGGGACAUGAAGCAUAAUGGUGAGAUUGAUGAACUGAAACAUACGCAAUCUGAGCCGAGUAAAUCUGUUGAAGGAACAGUUGCUUCUACAGUUGGAAACCUGUCCUCUUCAGAAAAGUUUACAGAUGAGAGGAAUGAGAAAAUUGAGUCGGGUAAAGCUGAUUUGAGGACAGAGGUUCAUGAUGGUUUUCAAUCUCGGCUCCCUGAUGAAAUGGUGGGUAAUAAAUGUCAAGAUAUUAAUUUUGUGAUUGAACAUUCUGAUGAUAACGCAGAGAAAAAUCAACAAGAUAAGCAAAGCACCCAAGUGACGAUAGAGCAGGAAGUGCAACAUGCUCCAGGAUCUUCAGUGUCUGCUAAAGCCGAAGAAUUUGGGAAAAAAGUGGACAUGGCUCAGGAGCCUAAGCCAAACAACUCUGUCACUAGAGAAUGUGAAAUUCUUCCUGCUCCAGCAUUGUCAUCAUCUGUUAAAUCUACUAACCCUGCUAUCUCUCCUCAUCCUGCUGGCCUUGGGCGCGCUGCUCCAUUAUUGGAACCUGCCGCCAGGGUGGUGCAGCAGCCUCGUGCAAAUGGAAGUGUCUCACAGGCACAGGCACAGGCACAGGCACAACAAAUUGAAGAUAUUGGCAAUGUGGAGGCUGAGGAGAAUGAUGAGACUCGUGAAAAGCUUCAGUUGAUUAGAGUUAAGUUUUUGAGGCUUGCAAAUAGGCUCGGGCAGACUCCCCAUAAUGUUGUUGUGGCACAGGUUUUGUACAGACUAGGAUUAGCUGAGCAGCUCCGGGGGAGAAAUGGGGGCCGGGUUGGUGCCUUCAGCUUUGACCGUGCAAGUGCUAUGGCUGAACAGCUUGAGGCAGCUGGAAAUGAACCCCUUGAUUUCUCCUGUACAAUUAUGGUCCUUGGGAAGACCGGAGUUGGUAAAAGUGCUACUAUUAAUUCAAUAUUUGAUGAAGUCAAGUUUGGCACCGAUGCUUUCCAGACUGGUACCAAAAAGGUUCAGGAUGUUGUGGGUACUGUGCAUGGUAUUAAAGUUCGUGUAAUUGACACACCAGGCCUUCUUCCUUCCUGGUCUGACCAAUGCCAGAACGAGAAGAUCCUUCACUCCGUUAAGCGUUUCAUUAAGAAAACACCUCCAGAUAUUGUGUUGUACCUUGAUAGGUUGGACAUGCAAACGAGGGAUUUUGGUGAUAUGCCCCUCUUGCGUACCAUAACUGAGGUCUUUGGUCCCUCUAUAUGGUUUAAUGCAAUUGUGGUUUUGACUCAUGCAGCUUCUGCUCCACCAGAUGGUCCUAAUGGUACUGCUUCUAGCUAUGACAUGUUUGUCACUCAACGUUCUCAUGUUGUACAGCAGGCUAUUCGUCAGGCAGCUGGGGAUAUGCGACUCAUGAAUCCUGUUUCAUUAGUGGAGAAUCACUCUGCAUGUAGAACCAAUAGGGCAGGCCAGAGAGUAUUGCCAAAUGGUCAGGUCUGGAAGCCUCAUUUGUUGUUGCUUUCGUUAGCAUCUAAAAUUCUGGCCGAGGCAAACACGCUUUUGAAGUUGCAAGAUACUCCCCCAGGAAAGCCUUUUGCUACUCGAGCAAGAACACCUCCUUUACCUUACCUUCUUUCAUCUCUUCUUCAAUCGAGACCGCAAGUUAAGCUUCCUGAAGAGCAGUAUGGUGAUGAGGAUGGAUUAGAUGAUGAUUUGGAUGAAUCCUCUGACUCCGAGGAUGAGCCAGAAUAUGAUGAGCUGCCACCUUUCAAGCGGUUGAGUAAAGCACAAAUAGCAAAGCUUAGUAAGGCUCAGAAAAAAGCAUAUUUUGAUGAGUUGGAAUAUAGAGAAAAACUUUUUAUGAAGAAGCAACUGAAGGAAGAGAAAAAGCAGCGAAAGAUGAUGAAGAAAAUGGCAUCUGCAGCCAAGGAUCUGCCAAGUGAGUAUGGUGAAAAUGCAGAAGAAGAAAGUAGUGGUGCUUCUUCUGUUCCAGUUCCAAUGCCAGAUUUGGCGUUGCCUGCUUCUUUUGAUUCUGAUAAUCCAACUCAUCGCUAUCGUUCCCUUGAUUCCUCCAACCCAUGGCUUGUUAGGCCAGUUCUAGAUACUCAUGGUUGGGAUCAUGAUGUUGGUUACGAAGGUAUUAAUGUCGAAAGACUGUUCGUUGCAGAAAAGAAAUUUCCUAUUUCAUUUUCUGGCCAGGUUACAAAGGACAAAAGGGAUGCCAAUGUCCAAAUGGAACUGGCCAGUUCUUUAAAGCACGGGGAAGGUAAAGCAACUUCAUUGGGUUUUGAUAUGCAGACUGUUGGAAAGGACUUAGCCUAUACACUGCGCAGCGAGACCAGGUUUAGUAAUCUGAAGAAGAAUAAGGCAAUGGCUGGCAUCUCAGUUACACUCUUAGGUGAUGCGCUAUCAGCUGGAGUGAAAUUUGAAGACAAACUGAUUGCUAAUAAGCAGUUCCAAGUAGUCAUGGCUGGGGGUGCUAUGACUGGACGUGGCGAUCUUGCUUAUGGGGGCAGCUUGGAAGCACAAUUGAGGGAUAAAGAUUACCCUCUGGGUCGCUCCUUAUCUACACUUGGCCUAUCUAUCAUGGAUUGGCAUGGAGAUCUUGCCAUUGGAUGCAAUAUACAGUCACAGGUGCCUGUUGGACGGUCUACGAAUCUAAUAGCUCGUGCCAAUCUGAAUAACAAAGGUGCUGGACAAGUCAGUUUACGAAUAAAUAGCUCUGAACAGCUUCAGCUUGCUUUGAUUGCUGUCCUUCCUUUACUGAAAAAACUAUUUGAAUAUUCACAUCAAGUGCAGUAUGGACAAUGAUGAGAAUUAGGUUGCUACGGAUAAUACAAAUUUUUAAAAAUGGCCAAGUCUCUGUGGUCUUUCAAGAGGUGACACCGCCUGAGCCAGUAUGAAGCAUAAGGCAGUGAUCAGGACGCCCUUAGUGCUGCAACCUGUGAGGUCCCUAUUCUUUGGGGGAUAACAACUGCAAUUGAAUGGUAAGGGGUCUCCUCUUCCUUGAAGGCCUUCCCAAAGGGUCAUAGCAGUCCCAUUUCUCUUGGCGGCCAGUGCAUAGAUAAGAGCAACCUUUGACUCAGGGUCAGUACUCUCCAGUAGCAUUUGUGUCUUCCUUUUCAACCCUCAGCUGCCAAGACUAAUGAGGUCCAGGUAAUUAGUUGGCCGUAAAAGCUGAGAGGAGCAUUGAUGAAAGGAGGUGUGAGCAAAAUGCAAACAUGUGAAAAGCCAGACACCAAGUUUUCCUGCUAACUUGACUUUAAAUCCUUUUAUUUUCAACUGCGUAACACAUGUCCUGAUGCGGUACUUUUCAUUUUUAAUAAUUGCUGGUAUGCCCGCAUGAGCGGGAGCUGAUUGGUGUGUUAAAAUUUUAGACCAGAAAGAGUCUGUUAUGAUUUGAUUAGAACAAUGCAUCAUAAUAAUAUACAUAAAACACAUCUGGGGAGCAACAUCCAGUUCAUAUCAAA
Molecule: RNA transcript, 5110 nt
Organism: Gossypium raimondii (Peruvian cotton)
Lineage: Eukaryota; Viridiplantae; Streptophyta; Magnoliopsida; Malvales; Malvaceae
Gene name: translocase of chloroplast 120, chloroplastic
Exons: 4
Source: RefSeq, a predicted model, not a curated record